AUUGAACGCUGGCGGCAGGCCUAACACAUGCAAGUCGAGCGGAUGAGAGGAGCUUGCUCCUGGAUUCAGCGGCGGACGGGUGAGUAAUGCCUAGGAAUCUGCCUGGUAGUGGGGGACAACGUUUCGAAAGGAACGCUAAUACCGCAUACGUCCUACGGGAGAAAGCAGGGGACCUUCGGGCCUUGCGCUAUCAGAUGAGCCUAGGUCGGAUUAGCUAGUUGGUGAGGUAAUGGCUCACCAAGGCGACGAUCCGUAACUGGUCUGAGAGGAUGAUCAGUCACACUGGAACUGAGACACGGUCCAGACUCCUACGGGAGGCAGCAGUGGGGAAUAUUGGMCAAUGGGCGAAAGCCUGAUCCAGCCAUGCCGCGUGUGUGAAGAAGGUCUUCGGAUUGUAAAGCACUUUAAGUUGGGAGGAAGGGUUGUAGAUUAAUACUCUGCAAUUUUGACGUUACCGACAGAAUAAGCACCGGCUAA
This 477-nucleotide ribosomal RNA is filed under the name Pseudomonas sp. RNAcentral's name for it is "bacterial SSU rRNA". It matches the Rfam family "Bacterial small subunit ribosomal RNA", at positions 30 to 500 of the family's 1533-position model. Lineage: Bacteria; Pseudomonadati; Pseudomonadota; Gammaproteobacteria; Pseudomonadales; Pseudomonadaceae. The record is from RNAcentral.